This 424-nucleotide ribosomal RNA is filed under the name uncultured bacterium. RNAcentral describes it as "bacterial SSU rRNA". It matches the Rfam family "Bacterial small subunit ribosomal RNA", at positions 355 to 796 of the family's 1533-position model. The record is from RNAcentral.
UGGGGAAUAUUGGACAAUGGAGGAAACUCUGAUCCAGCAAUGCCGCGUGAGUGAAGAAGGCUUUCGGGUUGUAAAACUCUUUCAGUAGGGAAGAUAAUGACGGUACCUACAGAAGAAGCCCCGGCAAACUUCGUGCCAGCAGCCGCGGUAAGACGAAGGGGGCUAGCGUUGUUCGGAAUUACUGGGCGUAAAGGGUGCGUAGGCGGCCAUUCAAGUUAGGCGUGAAAGCCCAGGGCUUAACCCUGGAAUUGCGUUUAAUACUGUUUGGCUAGAGUUCGAUAGAGGGAAGUAGAAUUCCUAGUGUAGAGGUGGAAUUCGUAGAUAUUAGGAAGAAUACCAGAGGCGAAGGCGGCUUCCUGGAUCGAUACUGACGCUGAGGCACGAAAGCGUGGGGAGCAAACAGGAUUAGAUACCCCUGUAGUCC